AACGCACAUUGCGCCCCUUGGUAUUCCAUGGGGCAUGCCUGUUCGAGCGUCAUUUGUACCUUCAAGCUUUGCUUGGUGUUGGGCGUUUUGUCUUUUCUCUUGUGAUUAGACUCGCCUUAAAGUCAUUGGCAGCCAGUGUUUUUGGUAGUAAGCGCAGCACAUUUUGCGUCUUAGUCCUUAAAUGGCGGCAUCCAUAUAGCUACUUUUUCACUUUUGACCUCGGAUCAGGUAGGGAUACCCGCUGAACUUAA
This 251-nucleotide unclassified non-coding RNA is filed under the name uncultured Pleosporales. RNAcentral describes it as "sequence contains ITS2". The record is from RNAcentral. Lineage: Eukaryota; Fungi; Ascomycota; Dothideomycetes; Pleosporales.